CGCACAUUGCGCCCCUUGGUAUUCCGGGGGGCAUACCCGUUCGAGCGUCAUUACACCACUCAAGCUUGGCUUGGUAUUGGGCGGCGAGGCCUCCUCGCGCCCCAAUUUCUCCGGCGGGAUCACCCGAAUUGCAAGCGUUGUAAUACAAAUUCGCACCGCGAUGAAGGGUUUUCGGUCCGCGCCGUUAAACAUUGAACAAGGUUGACCUCGGAUCGGGUAGGGAUACCCGCUGAACUUAA
This 239-nucleotide unclassified non-coding RNA is filed under the name Passalora sp. Its description in RNAcentral is "partial contains 5.8S ribosomal RNA, internal transcribed spacer 2, and large subunit ribosomal RNA". Lineage: Eukaryota; Fungi; Ascomycota; Dothideomycetes; Mycosphaerellales; Mycosphaerellaceae. The record is from RNAcentral.